CAGUAGCCACGGUAAUACGUAGGGUGCAAGCGUUAAUCGGAAUUACUGGGCGUAAAGCGUGCGCAGGCGGUUAUAUAAGACAGAUGUGAAAUCCCCGGGCUCAACCUGGGAACUGCAUUUGUGACUGUAUAGCUAGAGUACGGCAGAGGGGGAUGGAAUUCCGCGUGUAGCAGUGAAAUGCGUAGAUAUGCGGAGGAACACCGAUGGCGAAGGCAAUCCCCUGGGCCUGUACUGACGCUCAUGCACGAAAGCGUGGGGAGCAAACAGGAUUAGAGACCCGUGUAGUCCCUGUCUCUUAUAC
This 301-nucleotide ribosomal RNA is filed under the name uncultured bacterium. RNAcentral's name for it is "partial 16S ribosomal RNA". It matches the Rfam family "Bacterial small subunit ribosomal RNA", at positions 509 to 807 of the family's 1533-position model. The record is from RNAcentral.